AAAUAUUUGUGCGCGGGAAGCCACAAGCGACAUCGCAGUCACAAAUGUUCGUCGUAGGAUAAGGUUUGAUUUUGUGUAGAAUGUAUGGACAGCUACCUGUUGGGUUAUGACAGCGAGUUUGAAACAAUAUUCAGAUGCAAAACUAUUAAAGGUUGUAGAUUCAAAGACACAGAGCAACGAACGAGGAAUUUUACAACUUUUUCAAACACUGCUUGAAAGUUGACAGAACAAUUUAUCAUUGUAGCAAAAGAAAUUCGUCAAGUGCCAGCUUUUCAUCACUGAGUGAGAUGGAGGCCUAUCAAGUCUGAAGAGCAAGUCUCUGGGAUGGGAAGAGAAGACUAUAGAGAACUUGAAGUUCAUUAUCUCGCAUAAAGUUCAGCUUUCUAAAACUCUUCUUGAAAGCGGAAAAGACAGUUUAUCAUAAUACAUCAAAAGACAUGCGGAGUUAUUUGUCCGAUUAUGCAUCACUGAGAGAGGUGGAUGAAUCGAGUCUAAAGAGCAAUUUUCUAAAUCACUGCUUGAAAGGGUCAUUGCAUCAAACGGACAUUGUUAUCAGUCUGGUGCCUCACGGAGUGGGAUGGAAGCCUAUAUAGUCCCAAGAGUAAAGAGCAAAUGCAAAACUAUUAAAGGUUGUAGAUUCAAAGACACAGAGCAACGAACGAGGAAUUUUACAACUUUUUCAAACACUGCUUGAAAGUUGACAGAACAAUUUAUCAUUGUAGCAAAAGAAAUUCGUCAAGUG
Non-coding RNA from Styela clava, 742 nucleotides. NCBI's taxonomy places the organism in Eukaryota, Metazoa, Chordata, Ascidiacea, Stolidobranchia, Styelidae. The record is from RefSeq and is a predicted model, not a curated record.